CAGCAGCCACGGUAAUACGUAGGGUGCAAGCGUUAAUCGGAAUUACAGGGCGUAAAGCGUGCGCAGGCGGUUUGUUAAGACAGAUGUGAAAUCCCCGGGCUCAACCUGGGAACUGCAUUUGUGACUGGCAAGCUAGAGUGUGGCAGAGGGGGGUGGAAUUCCGCGUGUAGCAGUGAAAUGCGUAGAUAUGCGGAGGAACACCGAUGGCGAAGGCAGCCCCCUGGGCCAACACUGACGCUCAUGCACGAAAGCGUGGGGAGCAAACAGGAUUAGAUACCCCAGUAGUCCCUGUCUCUUAUAC
This 301-nucleotide ribosomal RNA is filed under the name uncultured bacterium. Its description in RNAcentral is "partial 16S ribosomal RNA". It matches the Rfam family "Bacterial small subunit ribosomal RNA", at positions 509 to 807 of the family's 1533-position model. The record is from RNAcentral.